RNAcentral lists this ribosomal RNA (507 nucleotides) under uncultured bacterium. RNAcentral describes it as "partial 16S ribosomal RNA". It matches the Rfam family "Bacterial small subunit ribosomal RNA", at positions 28 to 507 of the family's 1533-position model. The record is from RNAcentral.
GACGAACGCUGGCGGCGUGCCUAAUACAUGCAAGUCGAACGCAUUUUCUUUCACCGUAGCUUGCUACACCGAAAGAAAAUGAGUGGCGAACGGGUGAGUAACACGUGGGUAACCUGCCCAUCAGCGGGGGAUAACACUUGGAAACAGGUGCUAAUACCGCAUAAUUCCAUUUACCGCAUGGUAAAUGGAUGAAAGGCGCUUUUGCGUCACUGAUGGAUGGACCCGCGGUGCAUUAGCUAGUUGGUGGGGUAACGGCCUACCAAGGCUGCGAUGCAUAGCCGACCUGAGAGGGUGAUCGGCCACCCUGGGACUGAGACACGGCCCAGACUCCUACGGGAGGCAGCAGUAGGGAAUCUUCGGCAAUGGACGCAAGUCUGACCGAGCAACGCCGCGUGAUUGAAGAAGGUUUUCGGAUCGUAAAACUCUGUUGUUAGAGAAGAACAAGGAUGAGAGUGGAAAGUUCAUCCCUUGACGGUAUCUAACCAGAAAGCCACGGCUAACUACGUG